Molecule: ribosomal RNA, 318 nt
Filed under: uncultured Pseudomonas sp.
Lineage: Bacteria; Pseudomonadati; Pseudomonadota; Gammaproteobacteria; Pseudomonadales; Pseudomonadaceae
Description: bacterial SSU rRNA
Rfam family: Bacterial small subunit ribosomal RNA
Source: RNAcentral
GUCGUGAGAUGUUGGGUUAAGUCCCGUAACGAGCGCAACCCUUGUCCUUAGUUACCAGCACGUUAUGGUGGGCACUCUAAGGAGACUGCCGGUGACAACCGGAGGAAGGUGGGGAUGACGUCAAGUCAUCAUGGCCCUUACGGCCUGGGCUACACACGUGCUACAAUGGUCGGUACAAAGGGUUGCCAAGCCGCGAGGUGGAGCUAAUCCCAUAAAACCGAUCGUAGUCCGGAUCGCAGUCUGCAACUCGACUGCGUGAAGUCGGAAUCGCUAGUAAUCGUGAAUCAGAAUGUCACGGUGAAUACGUUCCCGGGCCUU